AGUGAACGCUGGCGGUAGGCCUAACACAUGCAAGUCGAACGGCAGCACAGUAAGAGCUUGCUCUUACGGGUGGCGAGUGGCGGACGGGUGAGGAAUACAUCGGAAUCUACUAUUUCGUGGGGGAUAACGUAGGGAAACUUACGCUAAUACCGCAUACGACCUACGGGUGAAAGCAGGGGAUCUUCGGACCUUGCGCGAUUGAAUGAGCCGAUGUCGGAUUAGCGAGUUGGCGGGGUAAAGGCCCACCAAGGCGACGCUCCGUAGCUGGUCUGAGAGGAUGAUCAGCAACACGGGAACUGAGACACGGCCCAGACUCCUACGGGAGGCAGCAGUGGGAAUAUUGGACAAUGGGCGCAAGCCUGAUCCAGCCAUACCGCGUGGGUGAAGAAGGCCUUCGGGUUGUAAAGCCCUUUUGUUGGGAAAGAAAAGCAGCAGGUUAAUACCCCGCUGUUCUGACGGUACCCAAAGAAUAAGCACCGGCUAACUUCGUG
RNAcentral lists this ribosomal RNA (491 nucleotides) under uncultured bacterium. RNAcentral describes it as "partial 16S ribosomal RNA". It matches the Rfam family "Bacterial small subunit ribosomal RNA", at positions 29 to 507 of the family's 1533-position model. The record is from RNAcentral.